GCCCCGGUACUCCAAUUGGCAUGAGAGGGCGGCCUCAAAAUCCGUACAGUGUGGGUUCGAAUCCCACCCGGGGCA
Molecule: transfer RNA, 75 nt
Filed under: Bailinhaonella thermotolerans
Lineage: Bacteria; Bacillati; Actinomycetota; Actinomycetes; Streptosporangiales; Streptosporangiaceae
Description: actinobacterium YIM 75507 tRNA
Rfam family: tRNA
About the family: Transfer RNA (tRNA) molecules are approximately 80 nucleotides in length. Their secondary structure includes four short double-helical elements and three loops (D, anti-codon, and T loops).
Source: Rfam by way of RNAcentral